Podarcis lilfordi (Lilford's wall lizard) is the source of this 70-nucleotide non-coding RNA. NCBI's taxonomy places the organism in Eukaryota, Metazoa, Chordata, Lepidosauria, Squamata, Lacertidae. The record is from the annotation of a GenBank genome assembly.
GAGAUAGCUCAGUUGACAGAGCAUGAGGCCCUCAAUCUCAGGGUCGUGGGUUCAAGCCCUACGUUGGGCA